GACGAACCGUGCGAACGUUAUUCGGAAUCACUGGGCUUAAAGCGCGUGUAGGCGGAUGAGCACGUCUGUCGCUGAAAUCCCCCGGCUCAACCGGGGAACGGGCGCGGAUACGGCUCGUCUCGAGGGGCGUAGGGGGACCUGGAACUUCCGGUGGAGCGGUGAAAUGCGUUGAGAUCUGCAAGAAUACCCGUGGCGAAGGCGGCCAGCUGGGCCGGAUCCGACGCUGAGGCGCGAAAGCGUGGGGAGCAAACAGG
Molecule: ribosomal RNA, 254 nt
Filed under: uncultured bacterium
Lineage: Bacteria
Description: partial 16S ribosomal RNA
Rfam family: Bacterial small subunit ribosomal RNA
Source: RNAcentral